CGGAGGAUCCAAGCGUUAUCCGGAAUCAUUGGGUUUAAAGGGUCCGUAGGCGGUUUAGUAAGUCAGUGGUGAAAGCCCAUCGCUCAACGGUGGAACGGCCAUUGAUACUGCUAAACUUGAGUUAUUAGGAAGUAACUAGAAUAUGUAGUGUAGCGGUGAAAUGCUUAGAGAUUACAUGGAAUACCAAUUGCGAAGGCAGGUUACUACUAAUGGAUUGACGCUGAUGGACGAAAGCGUGGGUAGCGAACAGGAUUAGAUACCCUGGUAGUCCACGCCGUAAACGAUGGAUACUAGCUGUUGGGGGCAACUUCAGUGGCUAAGCGAAAGUGAUAAGUAUCCCACCUGGGGAGUACGUUCGCAAGAAUG
This 366-nucleotide ribosomal RNA is filed under the name uncultured organism. RNAcentral describes it as "bacterial SSU rRNA". It matches the Rfam family "Bacterial small subunit ribosomal RNA", at positions 526 to 896 of the family's 1533-position model. The record is from RNAcentral.